AAAACAGGGCUGGGGAUGUGACUCAGUGCUAGAGUGCCCCUAAAUUCAAUCCCUGGUACCCUCUGUCAGGUCUGUGGCAAUUACUGAGGAACAAAGAACCAAGGAGCCUUAGCAUGGGAAAGAAACACCUGUCAAUCAGCAGAGUCUUCUGGCCAAUCCUGGAUUUCAUCCAGUUCCACCAACCAACUUUGCCGGGAUAAGGGACUCUAAAAACACCUUUUCCUGUCCCAAGCCCUUCCCUUCCUGCCAUAAGUCCCAUAAACUUCCAGUCCCAGGGAGCUCCCAUGGGUUUUCUCCUCUGACCCUUCUCCUCUUCACUCUGUCUGUUCAAGUUCUGCCCUGGAGCAACAUCUCAAAUAAAGCCUCAUUCAGCGGCCUUUUAAAAUCUAUCUCCUUUGGUCAACAUCCAUUGCUGGACCUCACACCCUCCCCUACCAAACAAAAUAAAAUAAAAACACAAAGCAUUGAGAGGGCCUGCUGGGGGUGUUAACUCCAUGUGAUUUCUGCCCAGUCCUCUGAAUGUCAAAGUGAAGAAAUUCAGUGAAGCGUGGUUAAACAGAGGGAGUAACUAUGAUUCUCUUAAGGCCCUCAAAUGCCUCCUCUUCUAAUUAGUGAUGAAUGAAUAGAUGAAAAAGAUUCCCACUUUCCCUAUAUACUAUCCAGCAAAACCACAGCCAAAGAAAUGGGCUCUGCAGACCCAGUGAGGAAAGAACUAUAGAAACAAAGAACCAGAAAGAAGCCCAGCUUGUCCCCCCCAUGCUCCCCAAAGGGCUCUAUUUUUUCUUCCUCAGCCAGAGCUGGAAGUCCAAAGAACAACAACAACAAAACAAACAAAAAUAACAACAACAACAAAAAAACAUGAUGGCCAGCAGUGGAGAGAACAGCACAGCCAUGAUAGAGCUUAAAGGAGCUUAGGGUGCCAGAUCCCCUGGGUUGGUUUCUUUGGAACCUUCAACAAAGAAACUAAAGAAACACCAAUCCACCCUGCCCCCAAAGAAAAGAAAAUGAACCACAGUAGAUGCAUUCCAUUUUUCCCCCUUAAUAGACUAUCUAGUACCACAGAUUUUGAACUCAGAGCUCUUCUGCUGAAAGAAAAUGAUAAAGUUUGGUUUAGUGACACAAGCCUGUCACUGGAGGAAAGAUCACUUGUGAGGAAUUUGUGACCCAACCACAUAGAGACCCCAGUUUACAAACAAGCCAGCAUGCCAGCUUAAAGUUCAAAGGAAGAUCAGAUUGUUUUUAAUGACUUGAAGGCUUAUUCUGUCAUGUAUUACUCUUCAUCUCUGAUCAGUUCUUGGGAGACCCAAAGUAUCAGGAGGUGGGGGUGUGGUUAUCACUUAAUGGUAGAGUACUUGCCUAGCACAUGUGAGGCACUGGGUUUGAUUUUCAGCACCAUGUAAAAAUAAAUAAGACAAAAUUAUUGUGUCCAUGUGAUAGUAGGAGCAAAUGUGACUCCAUUUUGUUUUAUGAUUUCAUCCUGUAAAACAACCAUGCCAAGUAGAAGAGCCAUGACUGGGGCAAGAUGUUCUUUUCCUUUUGCUAUAGAAAUCUUUAAGAACACAAAACUACCUAAUGGGGUAUUGUUUCUGUAACUAGGGUAAUGGGGCUCUGUUUCUGUAACUGGGGUGACUGGGCUAACUGUGAUUGGUUAGGCUUCCCUCCACUUGACUGCACUCUCCCACUUCUGUAACCUGGUUUGCUUGCAUUGCCUAGACCCCCUGAACAUCCCUUUUGCAGUUUUCAGGCUUAUAAGGAGUGCCCUUGCAAUAGGUUGGGGCUGAUCAGGAGAACAGCUUUAUGUUCUGGUCAGCCGCCACCAGUGUGCUUCAAUAAAGGCUUGAUUUGAUUAUAUGUGAGUGGUCUGGAAGUCAGUUUAUGAAACCCUUGGAGGAAUCUUUAACUAUAACAUCCAUCUCUAACUAAAAAUAAAUAAAUGAAUAAAUAAAUAAUUUAAGGUUUGAGGAGGUGGGAGAUGGACCCUUAGAGUUGCAUAAGAGGGGAUGGGAAGGUAGCUCAGUGGUACAGCUACUUAAAAUAGGCUAGA
Molecule: long non-coding RNA, 2044 nt
Filed under: Marmota monax (woodchuck)
Lineage: Eukaryota; Metazoa; Chordata; Mammalia; Rodentia; Sciuridae
Rfam family: Eukaryotic large subunit ribosomal RNA (bases 1-692)
Source: RNAcentral